Molecule: transfer RNA, 77 nt
Filed under: Escherichia phage vB_EcoM_Kelasse
Lineage: Duplodnaviria; Heunggongvirae; Uroviricota; Caudoviricetes; Pantevenvirales; Straboviridae
Also listed under: 2 other names
Description: tRNA-Pro
Rfam family: tRNA
About the family: Transfer RNA (tRNA) molecules are approximately 80 nucleotides in length. Their secondary structure includes four short double-helical elements and three loops (D, anti-codon, and T loops).
Source: RNAcentral
CUCCGUGUAGCUCAGUUUGGUAGAGCGCCUGAUUUGGGAUCAGGAGGUCCAAGGUUCAAAUCCUUGUAUGGAGACUG